This 396-nucleotide ribosomal RNA is filed under the name uncultured Enterobacteriaceae bacterium. RNAcentral's name for it is "bacterial SSU rRNA". It matches the Rfam family "Bacterial small subunit ribosomal RNA", at positions 988 to 1382 of the family's 1533-position model. Lineage: Bacteria; Pseudomonadati; Pseudomonadota; Gammaproteobacteria; Enterobacterales; Enterobacteriaceae. The record is from RNAcentral.
CCACAGAACUUUCCAGAGAUGGAUUGGUGCCUUCGGGAACUGUGAGACAGGUUGCUGCAUGGCUGUCGUCAGCUCGUGUUGUGAAAUGUUGGGUUAAGUCCCGCAACGAGCGCAACCCUUAUCCUUUGUUUGCCAGCGGUCCGGCCGGGAACUCAAAGGAGACCGCCAGUGAUAAACUGGAGGAAGGUGGGGAUGACGUCAAGUCAUCAUGGCCCUUACGACCAGGGCUACACACGUGCUACAAUGGCGCAUACAAAGAGAAGCGACCUCGCGAGAGCAAGCGGACCUCAUAAAGUGCGUCGUAGUCCGGAUCGCAGUCUGCAACUCGACUGCGUGAAGUCGGAAUCGCUAGUAAUCGUGGAUCAGCAUGUCACGGUGAAUACGUUCCCGGGUCUU